GGGAACGUACCCUUCGGUUCGGAAUAACUCAGGGGAACUUGAGCUAAUACCGGAUACGCCCUUUUGGGGAAAGGUUUACUGCCGAAGGAUCGGCCCGCGUCUGAUUAGCUUGUUGGUGGGGUAACGGCCUACCAAGGCGACGAUCAGUAGCUGGUCUGAGAGGAUGAUCAGCCACACUGGGACUGAGACACGGCCCAGACUCCUACGGGAGGCAGCAGUGGGGAAUAUUGGACAAUGGGCGCAAGCCUGAUCCAGCCAUGCCGCGUGAGUGAUGAAGGCCUUAGGGUUGUAAAGCUCUUUUGUCCGGGACGAUAAUGACGGUACCGGAAGAAUAAGCCCCGGCUAACUUCGUGCCAGCAGCCGCGGUAAUACGAAGGGGGCUAGCGUUGCUCGGAAUCACUGGGCGUAAAGGGCGCGUAGGCGGCCGAUUAAGUCGGGGGUGAAAGCCUGUGGCUCAACCACAGAAUUGCCUUCGAUACUGGUUGGCUUGAGACCGGAAGAGGACAGCGGAACUGCGAGU
Molecule: ribosomal RNA, 520 nt
Filed under: uncultured bacterium
Lineage: Bacteria
Description: bacterial SSU rRNA
Rfam family: Bacterial small subunit ribosomal RNA
Source: RNAcentral